Molecule: long non-coding RNA, 203 nt
Organism: Haliotis rubra (blacklip abalone)
Lineage: Eukaryota; Metazoa; Mollusca; Gastropoda; Lepetellida; Haliotidae
Exons: 3
Source: RefSeq, a predicted model, not a curated record
AUCGAGUGUCGCCAUUUUGUGAAGCAAGAUGAACGCCCGUUACCUCCAUUUCAUUCUGCUGAUAAUGCACACAGUAGCCGAGAAAGGAGGACUGGCAUGCGUGCAGAAACAGACAGAGGCGUGUACAAUAGAAGACUCCCCUUCCCCUGAUGCAUUCAUAGGGGCUCAUUUGUCUGGACUGCUCCGGGUGAACGAGAAGAAGG